RNAcentral lists this unclassified non-coding RNA (437 nucleotides) under uncultured fungus. RNAcentral describes it as "partial contains 5.8S ribosomal RNA, internal transcribed spacer 2, and large subunit ribosomal RNA". Lineage: Eukaryota; Fungi. The record is from RNAcentral.
AACGCAUCUUGCACUCUUUGGUAUUCCAGAGAGUAUACCUGUUUGAGUAUCAUUUUCCUUUCCUUUGCAUUACUAUUGUUGUGUGAAGGGAUGUGAGGUAUAAAGACAUUGUCUUGGGACUCUGCGCUUUUACCUUUAAAGGCAUGCGAGCUGCUUACAGACGUGAGUAACGCUAGCUUAAAGUGGGUUGUUUGUUUGUUUGUUUGACUUUUUGUUUGCUUGGUUUUUGUUACGUCAGCGACGUAGCGCACCAUCCAUUCAUCUAGCCAUCAUCAAUCAUUCUGGCACUGGAGCUGCGCAAAGCAAGCUGUGAGGGGACACAGGUCGCACGACACACUAUCCAGCCUUGGCUGGUGGCUAUAACAAUCAGUCAGUCUAUGACUACUGGUGGUUGAACAUUUGAUCUCAAAUCAGGUAAGAGUACCCGCUGAACUUAA